This 84-nucleotide transfer RNA is filed under the name Candidatus Levybacteria bacterium RIFCSPHIGHO2_01_FULL_38_26. Its description in RNAcentral is "tRNA-Leu". It matches the Rfam family "tRNA". From Rfam's summary of the family: Transfer RNA (tRNA) molecules are approximately 80 nucleotides in length. Their secondary structure includes four short double-helical elements and three loops (D, anti-codon, and T loops). The record is from RNAcentral. Lineage: Bacteria; Candidatus Levyibacteriota.
GCCGAGGUGGCGGAAUGGUAGACGCCCGGGACUUAAGAUCCCGUGUUCUUUAUGAACGUGUGGGUUCGACUCCCUCCCUCGGCA